GACGUAGGAGGCGAGCGUUGUCCGGAUUCAUUGGGCGUAAAGAGCACGCAGGCGGUUUGGCAAGUCGGACGUGAAAAUCCGGGGCUCAACCCCGGACCUGCAUCCGAAACUGCCCGACUAGAGGUAGGUAGGGGAGAUCGGAAUUCCUGGUGUAGCGGUGAAAUGCGUAGAGAUCAGGAAGAACACCGGUGGCGAAAGCGCUCUGCUAGGCCGCAACUGACACUGAGGGACGAAAGCUAGGGGAGCGAAUGGG
RNAcentral lists this ribosomal RNA (253 nucleotides) under uncultured bacterium. Its description in RNAcentral is "partial 16S ribosomal RNA". It matches the Rfam family "Bacterial small subunit ribosomal RNA", at positions 524 to 776 of the family's 1533-position model. The record is from RNAcentral.